Molecule: ribosomal RNA, 492 nt
Filed under: uncultured bacterium
Lineage: Bacteria
Description: partial 16S ribosomal RNA
Rfam family: Bacterial small subunit ribosomal RNA
Source: RNAcentral
AGUGAACGCUGGCGGUAGGCCUAACACAUGCAAGUCGAACGGCAGCACAGUAAGAGCUUGCUCUUACGGGUGGCGAGUGGCGGACGGGUGAGGAAUACAUCGGAAUCUACUUUUUCGUGGGGGAUAACGUAGGGAAACUUACGCUAAUACCGCAUACGACCUACGGGUGAAAGCAGGGGAUCUUCGGACCUUGCGCGAUUGAAUGAGCCGAUGUCGGAUUAGCUAGUUGGCGGGGUAAAGGCCCACCAAGGCGACGAUCCGUAGCUGGUCUGAGAGGAUGGUCAGCCACCCUGGAGCUGAGACACGGUCCAGACUCCUGCGAUAGGCAGCAGUGGGGAAUAUUGGACAAUGGUCGCAAGCCUGAUCCAGCCAUACCGCGUGGGUGAAGAAGGCCUUCGGGUUGUAAAGCCCUUUUGUUGGGAAAGAAAAGCAGCAGGUUAAUACCCCGCUGUUCUGACGGUACCCAAAGAAUAAGCACCGGCUAACUUCGUG